GGUGCCAGCAGCCGCGGUAAUCCAGCUCCAAUAGCGUAUAUUAAAGUUGUUGCAGUUAAAAAGNUCGUAGUUGAAUUUCGAGACCGGUCUACUGGUCGUGCUUUUGUACGUACUGGUAUUAUUGGUUUCUCCUUUCUGACGAAUCUUAAUGCCAUUAAUUUGGUGUUUUGGGGAAUCAGGACUGUUACUUUGAAAAAAUUAGAGUGUUUAAAGCAGGCUCACGCUUGAAUACAUUAGCAUGGAAUAACGAAAUAGGACGUUUGAUUUUAUUUUGUUGGUUUCUAGGGAUCGACGUAAUGAUUAAUAGGGAUAGUUGGGGGCAUUAGUAUUCAAUUGUCAGAGGUGAAAUUCUUGGAUUUAUUGAAGACUAACUACUGCGAAAGCAUUUGCCAAGGAUGUUUUCAUUAAUCAAGAACGAAAGUUAGGGGGAUCGAAGACGAUCAGAUACCGUCGUAGUCUUAACCAUAAACUAUGCCGACUAGGGAUCGGAUGAUGUUAAUUUUUUAAUGACUCAUUCGGCGCCUUACG
This 528-nucleotide ribosomal RNA is filed under the name uncultured Glomus. Its description in RNAcentral is "SSU rRNA". It matches the Rfam family "Eukaryotic small subunit ribosomal RNA", at positions 563 to 1092 of the family's 1831-position model. The record is from RNAcentral. Lineage: Eukaryota; Fungi; Glomeromycota; Glomeromycetes; Glomerales; Glomeraceae.